UACAGAGGGGGCAAGCGUUAUUCGGAAUUAUUGGGCGUAAAGGGCGCGUAGGCGGCUUGGCAAGUGGAAGGUGAAAUCCCUCGGCUUAACCGAGGAACUGCCCUCCAAACUGCUUUGCUUGAGGCCGGGAGAGGCGAGUGGAAUUCCCAGUGUAGCGGUGAAAUGCGUAGAUAUUGGGAGGAACACCAGUGGCGAAGGCGGCUCGCUGGACCGUAACUGACGCUGAGACACGAAAGCGUGGGUAGCAAACAGG
Molecule: ribosomal RNA, 253 nt
Filed under: uncultured bacterium
Lineage: Bacteria
Description: partial 16S ribosomal RNA
Rfam family: Bacterial small subunit ribosomal RNA
Source: RNAcentral